UGUUGAGGUUUUCUUUACCUGAAAACAGAUACCUCCCUACCCCAUUAUGUUUAACAGAAUGCUUGUCAACUUUUCCUUCUCAAUCCCAAUUUAUUGACAAGCCAAGCCUGUCACUGGCCCUGUGAGGUUUAGCUCCCUAGCUAAUUUCCUUGUCUCAGCCCAGACCCCUCCCUAGAGAGGGUUGCUCUAUGCUGGCUUCAUGGCACCACUGAAGAGCCCUCAGUGCCUGACCUACAGAAAGCUGAAGCUGGCACUGGUAACGGUAUUGUAUGUCUAAGGCACGCGGUUGGAAGUACUGCCGGUUAUCCAGCAGUUCAUCCUCUCUCUUUGUACAGUGAAUCUGAUUCUGACAGCUGUCACUGGAAGCGUCGGUGGAAUGUUCUUGGUAGCUGUGUGGUGGCGAUUUGGAAUCCUCUCGAUCUGCAUGCUCUGUGUUGGACUAGUGCUGGGGUUCCUCAUCUCGUCAGUGACUUUCUUUACUCCACUGGGAAACCUAAAGAUUUUUCAUGAUGAUGG
RNAcentral lists this long non-coding RNA (516 nucleotides) under Homo sapiens (human). Its description in RNAcentral is "non-protein coding lnc-INTS13-1:1". Lineage: Eukaryota; Metazoa; Chordata; Mammalia; Primates; Hominidae. The record is from RNAcentral.